RNAcentral lists this ribosomal RNA (465 nucleotides) under uncultured bacterium. RNAcentral describes it as "partial 16S ribosomal RNA". It matches the Rfam family "Bacterial small subunit ribosomal RNA", at positions 28 to 507 of the family's 1533-position model. The record is from RNAcentral.
GACGAACGCUGGCGGCGUGCUUAACACAUGCAAGUCGAACGGAAAGGCCCUGCUUGCAGGGUACUCGAGUGGCGAACGGGUGAGUAACACGUGGGUGAUCUGCCCUGCACUUCGGGAUAAGCCUGGGAAACUGGGUCUAAUACCGGAUAGGAGCCAUUUUUAGUGUGAUGGUUGGAAAGUUUUUUCGGUGUAGGAUGAGCUCGCGGCCUAUCAGCUUGUUGGUGGGGUAAUGGCCUACCAAGGCGGCGACGGGUAGCCGGCCUGAGAGGGUGGACGGCCACAUUGGGACUGGGAUACGGCCCAGACUCCUACGGGAGGCAGCAGUGGGGAAUAUUGCACAAUGGGCGCAAGCCUGAUGCAGCGAGGCCGCGUGGGGGAUGACGGCCUUCGGGUUGUAAACUCCUUUCGCUAGGGACGAAGCUUUUUGUGACGGUACCUAGAUAAGAAGCACCGGCUAACUACGUG